GGCUGCUGAGUGUUCCCUCACCCCCACGGCUUUUGGUCACCAUGUUGACCCUGCCAGAAACACUUGCAUGCCUGGGCCACUUCCCGAGCUACUGCCCACACAGCGACCCAUGACCUGGUAGGCAAAUGCCCUGGGGAGACUUUUUUACCCUGCUGCCUGGGACUGGGGAAUGCCAGAGAGGCCUGCCAGAGCCAUGCGCCAGGCUGCCACGCUCCCCAUCCCUGCAGGCUGCUGUAGUACCUGGUCCCUCCCUGCUGUUUUCUGCAGCUCACAGCUGUGCACUCAUUUCCAUCCCUGGGGCUGGGCUGUUCCCCACCUGCAAGGAGUGAAAGGCCAGGAGGCAGUGCUUGCCUGCUCUUCCCCACAGGCUCCCUCAGGUUUUGGUCCCAGAGAUGUAUCUGAAGAGAAGGAGAUGGAAAGCAGAGAGAGAGCUUGAAGGCUGAAGUACAGCGGCGCGAUUUCUGCUCACUGCAACCUCCGCCUCCCGGGUUUAAGCGAUUCUCCUGCCUCAGUAGAAUCCCUGAGUAGCUGGGGUUACAGGAAAUGAAGUGCCACAAGAGGCCAUGCUGACGAAGUUGACUAGUCUUGUUGUUUACCAUCCUGAAGCAGGUAGCUUAAUAAAAAGGUGGAAUGGCCAUUAGAAGACUCAGCUACAGUGGAAGCUUUCCCAAUGUGAUGUGCCUGUUACCGCUUUGCCUUCUGCCAUGACUGGAAGUAUCCUGAGGCCUCCCCACAAGCAGAUGCUACUACUCUUCCUGUAUAGCCUGAAGAACCAUAAGCCAAUGAAACCUCUUUUCUUAUAAAUCACCCAGUUUCAGGCCGUUGUUUACAGUAGUGCAAGAACAGCCUAAUGCACAUGACUGUUGAUAGAGAAUAAUAGGAAUAAGUGCUAAGAAUAAUACUUGUCAUCUUACCCACAGUUUGUAUAUAAAUUAAUGGACAAAUAACUUAAAUAGAAGAUACAGAAACUUCCAAUUUGCAGUCCAGUGUGUAAAGAGCUCAGAGGUUCCCACUCUUCCUAACAAGAUGUAAAAAGCUGAACAAACCAAGAAAUCAAAAACUCUUUUUAGAUCCAUAGGAGAUGUGAGAUUACAGGGCAAACCACUGCCCUCAAAAUUAGAGAUGCCUUCAAGCAAAUGCGGAGAAUCACAACUUACUGCAGCAAAACCCAUGUGCAGAAAGCAACACAGAAAUGAGUACAGGGUGGGAAACCUGAGAUGUAUCAGUGAAUUACUAGAGGCUCAGUGUGCUGAAGUCUGAGCCAGUCAUAAGGACGUCCCCACCGUUGGUGAAUGUAAUAUCCUGAAGCUUGACUUUGUACUUAUGGUAAAUAUCAGAAAAAAUGUUUCAUUCUCCUUACAGGGAAAAGGAAAAAUAACCAUUUUGAAAUAUGCUAGACAUUCUUUUCUUCUCAACAAGGUCUUCACUAAGAAAAAAAAACUAAUUAACUAGAGCCAAACUUGCUGGGGUUUUACUAGAGCCUAAUCUAUAGGGAGAAAGGGAAUACACAAGUUCCGUCUAUAAUAGGCUUCAAUGUGGAGAAGAGAAAUACUCAACUGCAGCCCAUUUUAGCCUUCCUGCCUCACUUAAAAGGGGGUAUAAAAGUACAUGUGAUAUUCAUAGUCCAGAAACAGGAUUAUUAAAAGAUUAAGACCUAAGUGUAGGAUCAUAGAAUGCUUUCCUUCUCCCCACACCUGACUGCUACAUUACAAAGUCCCAUUUACAGAAGCUCCGUUUACACAGUGUAUCAUUCCUGGCUAUCAAUAAUAAAUUACAAGGCAUACUAACAGGAAAAAACAUAGUUAGAACACAUAGAGCAAAAUAAAAACCAGACUCAGGUAUGGCAGGGGUGUGGGAACUAGACUAAGAAUAUGCUAGAGGCAAAUUCUUCCCUAGUCCUUCCUCAUAAUGGCUCCUAAGGAUGCAGAGGUUGUGAAAACGAGUGGUAGUUACUAAUUAUGAUGACCAUACUUUGAAUUUGUUACACCUUUCUUUAUAGUAAGACACCAACUACUUAAGACAAAAACAUGUUUUUGGCAUUACGUUGCUUGAUGUUCUCUAAGCUUCCUGAAUCUGUGGUUUAGUGUUCAACAUUAAAGGAAACGCUGUAAUUAACAUCCUUACAUAAAAGGAACACUUUAAAAGGUGCAUUUUCUCUAAAAAAUGGAUUAAACUCAAACUCAUAUGGCGUAGCAGAUGUGUUCAUAAAUGAACUUAUGACAUUAAAAAUAUGCUAAGGGCUCUAAUGAAAAAAGUGGACAGCAUAAAAGAACAUAUGGGAAAUGUAAGCAGAGAGAUGGAAAUUUUUUAAGAACCAGAAAGAAGCACUGGAGAUUUAAAAUAUUGUAACAGAAAUGAGGACUGCCUCUUGAAGGGCUUAUUAGUCAAUAAUGCAAAGCUUGAAAAUAUCACUGUGGAAAUCCCCAAAACUGAAAACAACAAUGACAAAAGGAAUAGACUAUCCAAGAACAGUGAGAUAGCUACAAAAGUGAAUUGUAUGUAAUGUAAAAACCAGAAGAAGAAGAAAGGAAAAGAAAUAUUUAAAGCAAUAGUUGCAGCGUUUCCUUUAACAUUGGACACCAGACCACAGAUUUGGGAAAUUCAGAAAUCAUCAAGUGGCAUAAUGUCAGAACAAAAUGUAAAACAAAACAACAUAUUUAGGCACAUAAUUUCAAAGAUAGAAAAUUACAGAUACAGCAAGAGUACCUAUGUAAACAUACACAAGUUUCUAAUGUGUAGGUUGCUAAUAGCAGAACACCAAAAUAUACGAAGAAAAAACUGACAGAAGAGCAAGAAGAAAUAGAUGAAUCAACUAGUAUACAAUUAUCGUUGUAGACUUCAACAACCUUCUAUCAGUAAUUGACAGAUUCAGUAAGCAGAAAAUUAGUAAAGGUGUAGUUGAACUCAGCAACACUAUAAAUAAACUGGAUAUCUUGCACAUCUAUAGACUGUUUCUUCCAAUAAUAGCAGAUUACACAUCUCUGGCCACAUGGAACAUUCAUCAACGUAGAUCACUUUCUGGAUGAUAAAAGACAUCUUAAUACAUUAGAAUAAAAUAAAACUCAAUCAAUGUCUUCUCUCAAUUGAUAAUGUAAUUAAACUGGAAACCAAUAAUGGAAAGAUAGCUGAGAAAGCCCAAAAUAUUUGAAGAUCACAUACACACUAAUAAAAAACACAUGGAGUAAAACGUCUUAAGAUAAAUUUUAAAAUAUUUUGAACUAAGUGAAAAUAAAAAUAGAAGCUGUCAAAAUGUGUUGGAUGCAGAAAAAGGAGUGCUUAGAAGAAAAUAUGUAAAACUGCAUAUAUUAGAAAAGAGGAAAGAUCAAAAAUCAAUAUUCAAAGGUUCCUCCUUAAGAACAAAAAAAACAGAGCAAAUUAAAUCCAAAGUACGCGAAAUAAAACAAAUAAUAAAAAUAAGAAAGCCAGCUGUAUUGGCAUGCAGUUAAUAGUCCUAUCUACUCAUGAGGCUGAGGUGGGAAGAUCACUUUAGCUUAGAGUAGAGUCUAGCAUGGGUAGUAUAGCAAGACCCUGUUGAGAGAGAGAGAGAGAGAGAGAGAGAGAGAGAGAGAAAAAGAGAGAGAGAGAGAGAGAAGAAACUAGUGAAAUUAAUAACCUAAAAUCAACAGGGAUAAUGAAAAUAGUAUAAGCCCAUAGCCAGGCAAACUAAGAAAAUAAGGGAGAAGACACAAAUGCACUGAUAUCAGAAAUAAACAUGAAAUAGCAAUACAAACAACAUGGACAUAAAAAAUAUUGCUAACUCUAUGCCCACAAAUCUGAUUAACCUACAUAUAAUGGGUCAACUCUGUAAAGUCUCAAUCUAUCAAUGAUCACACCAGAAGAAAUAGAGUUUCUAAGAAGGAGUAUUUUUAUUGAAGAACUGAAUCAAUAAUUAGUAACCUUCCCAAAGACAGCACAAGGCCCAGAUGGAUUCACUGGUGCAAUCUACCAAACAUUAAAGGAAGACAGUUUAUCAAUUAUUUACAACAGAGGCAAAAGGAGUAUUUUUAACUCAUUAUAUGAAGCAAGCAUUACCCUAAUACACAAAACAGAAAAAGACAAUACAAGAAAACUAAAACCCAAUAUAUUUUAUAAACAUCAAUGCACACAUCCUUAACAAAACAUUAGCAAAUUGAGUCCAACAAUGUAUAAAACGAAUUAUGUAUCAUAACAAAGGAGGAUUUAUUUAUCUCACUGAUGAAAGGAGAAUUUAACAUGUGAAAAUCAAUUAAUCUAUCAUAUUAAUAAGCUAGAUAGAAAGAAAAUCACAUGAACAAAUCAAUAGAUUCAGAAAAAGCAUUUGAAACAAUUCAACACCAUUUAGUGAUUAAAGACUUGGAGUUAACUUCCUCUAACUGGGGGUAAACUUCAACUUCGUAUAAGACAUCUGCAAAAACCCUACCACCGACUUAAUAGUGAGAAAUUUUAAACUUUCCCACUAAGAUCAAGAACAAGGCAAUAAUAUCUUCUCUUACCACUGCUUUUCAGCAUCUUAUUGGAAGUCCUACUUAACGCAGUGACAAUAAAUGAAAAUAAAAGGUAUACACAUUAUGGAGGAGGAAAUAUAACUGUCAUUGUGUGCAGAUGACAUAAUCAUCUACGUGGAAAGUUGAAAAGAACUGACAAAUUUUUUUCUGUAACUAAUAAGCAAUUAUAGCAAGGUGGCAGGACACAAAGUUAAUAUACAAAAGUCAACCACUUUCCUAUAUAGCUGCAAUGAACAAUCAAAUUUGAAAUUAAAAACAGAACACUGUUUACAUUAGCAAUCAAAAAUGAAAUACUUAGACAUAAAUCUAACAAUGUAAACAUACAAAAUCUAUAUGUGCAAAAUUACAAAAUCUGAUGAAGGAAACUGAAGUAGAACCAAAUAAAUGGAGAGAAUUCCAGAUUUAUGAACAGGGAGACUCAGUGUAGUCAAGAUGUCAGGUUCUUUUUUUUUUUUUUCAAAUUUAUUAAUAGAUUUCAUGCAUUCCCAAUCAAAACCCAGGCAAGGUAUUUUGUAUAAACAUACUGAUUCUAAUGUUUAUAGCAAGAGAUAAUAUACUCAGACAGAAGAGAAAACAAUAUUGAAAGAGACGGAAAAGAUGGAAAGAUUGACACUAUCUGACUUAAAAACUUGUUAUAAAUUGCAGUAAUCAAGACAGUGUGGUAUUGUCAGAAGAGUAAACAGAUCACUGGAACAGAAUGGGGAGCUUAGAAACAGACCUAAUAAAUACAGUCAACUGAUCUUUAAAUAAUGAACAAAAGCAAUGUCAUGAAGGGAAGGCAGUUUUGUUAAACAGUUGGUGCUGGAACAAAUGAACAUCCUCAUGUGGGGAAAAAUAGGGAAUUUAAAAACAUAUGUUCCACUUGACAAAAAUUAACUCAAAAUGGAUAUUAGACCUAAAUGUAGAAUGGAAAAUGGUAAAUCUAAAAGGCAGCAUAAGAGAAAAUCUAGAUGACUUUGAAUUUGUUGAUGAAUUUUUAGAUAUAUUGUCAAAAGCAUUAUUAAUAAAAAGGUAAUUCGUAAGCUAGAAUUUAAUUAAAAUUAGAAAUUCCUGCCCUGUGAAAGAUACUGCCAAGAAAUGAAAAAAGAAGCCAUAUACUGGGAGUAAAUAUGUAGAAACAAAUAAACAAAAUAUCUAACAAAGGACUGUUAUCUAAAUUAUUCAAAUAACUCCUAAAACUCAACAAGAAGGAAACAAUUCAACAAAAUUGUGAGCUAAACACCCUAACAGACACCUCACCAAAGAAGAUACAGGUUGAAAAUCUUUAAUCCAAAAAUCCAAAAUCAAAAAUGCUCAGAAAUUCAAAACUUUUUGAGUGCUAAUAUGACAGCAAAACUGGAAAUUUUCACACCUGACCCCAUGUGACAGACUGCUGUCAAAACACGGGUGCACAACACAUAGUUUAUUUAGCACUCCCAAGGGAAAGAAAACACUACGAGCUCUCUCUUCAGCUUCUUAUGUCUUUGUGUGCAUGCUUAGAUUUCCCAAGAAAAAACACACAAAAGUACACCCACAGAGAAUAAUAACUCAUGUUUGCCCAAGCCCAAACAUGUCGAAGACAUUUUCCCCACAAUACCCCACCUGGGACCAAAGCUUACAUACAUACAUCACUCGCUGUGUUUUUUUUCCCCCUAUUCUGUUAUAUGAUGCAAAGAUACUGUUGAAAAUGUUAAAAAGACCUGCAGAUACCCUAAUGGGUAACAGUGAUACGAAAAUGGAAGAAGUAUUUAUUUUUAUCUACACCACAAAAUGUCAGGCUAUUGAAGAAAACUGGACGGUGUUGUAAGUGUAAAACGUCUUAUAGAAGAGUUUGAUAUUUGAAUGGCCACCAUAUAUGGCCUGAAGAAUCAGAUGGACAAACUAUUGAAAUUCUAUGCUGAAAAUGAUGAAUAGAAAUUAAUUAAAAUAGAAAAACAUUGCAUAAAGGUAAAAAUGAAGAUCUUGAUUGGGUAUUGAAAGUGUGUAUCCAUCAGCACUCCAGUGAACACAUGCCAGGUGAUGGUAUGCUGAUAAUGAAACAAUCAUCUGUCAUAACGGAUUGAGAACUGAAGAGCAUUAUUAACAUUUAACAGGCUGAUUGUAUAAAUUUAAGAAAAGGCAUGGCAUCAUUUUUUUUUUUUGAAGAAUUGUGGUGACAGAGCAUCUGCUAAACAUGAAGCAGUGGAGAAAUUUAUGAGUUUGCCAAAAUCAUCACUGAUGAAAAUCUGACAGGAGAAUAAGUCUGUAGUGCUGAUAAAUUAUCACCAUUUUGGUGUUGUUGCCCCAGACUGUAGUCUGAUAAAUCAUCACCAUUUUGGUGUUAUUGCCCCAGAAAGACACUGAUUGCAGCUUAUAAGAUAGCUCUUACAGGAAUUAAAAAUGCCAGGUGCAGAGUAACUGUGUUUGGAUGUGCUAAUGUAGUAGGCCUGCAUGGUUGUAAACUUGCUGUGAUAUGCAAAAACUUGUAUUCUUACUAUUCUUACGGAGUGAAUUUCAUGCCAGGUCAUGAUGAAGUUAAGAAAAAGGCAUGGAUCACCAGGGACAUCUUUUCUGACUGGUUUCCCAAACAUUUUCUGAGUGGCUUAUGCUCACUUCAACUAAAAUGAACUGGAUGGCAACUGUUGGAUUUUGUUAUUCCUUAACAACUCUUCUACUCGUUCUCCAGCUGAAGUAUCAGAAAUAAUAGUUAUGGCAUGUAUUAGGCUGGUGCAAAAGUAAUUGCAGUUUUUGCUAAUACUUUCCCUUAAAUGUGACUUCAUUAAUUUAGCCAUGUGUCCAAAGUAUGCUUACAUCAAUGAGGAGUAAUUAUAAACACACUUUUCUGAAUAAAAUGCCAGCUACACUAAACAAAGGUGUGUUUGUGGAAAGUUUUUCAAAGAAAUUUUGCAUAAAGGAUUCUGUAUAUAUUGUUACCAAUACUUGGAACGCAGUGACUGAAGACAGUAGUGUAUUCUUGACACAGUCUCUGGCCUGCAAUUAUGUUCCACGUUGAUAAUAAACAAAGUGGUGAUUUUGAAGAAAUCUGUAUAUCGAAAGAAAAAAUUAUUUCCCUACAUAAGCAAAAAUAUACCUUGAGAGUCUGUCAGUAAGCUGUAAGUAAUAAAUAUAGAAAAAGUUUUAACGCUGAUUAUGUGGCUUCAGUUGUCCAUUUAUUGAAACAUAGCCAAAAAUUUUUUUGAAUAAAGUGAUUAUGACAUUAGUGAUAAUGAAUGUGGCAUUGUUAACACUACAGAAAAAGUGCCUUUAGACAUGAUAAAAAUGUGACAGGCUUA
Non-coding RNA from Callithrix jacchus (white-tufted-ear marmoset), 7735 nucleotides. Lineage: Eukaryota; Metazoa; Chordata; Mammalia; Primates; Cebidae. The record is from RefSeq and is a predicted model, not a curated record.